Molecule: ribosomal RNA, 592 nt
Filed under: uncultured bacterium
Lineage: Bacteria
Description: bacterial SSU rRNA
Rfam family: Bacterial small subunit ribosomal RNA
Source: RNAcentral
AGUCGAACGGUGAAGAGGAGCUUGCUCCUCGGAUCAGUGGCGGACGGGUGAGUAACACGUGAGCAACCUGCCUUUCAGUGGAGGGACAACAGUUGGAAACGACUGCUAAUACCGCAUAACGUGCCGGAGGGGCAUCCUUUUGGUACCAAAGAUUUAUCGCUGAAAGAUGGGCUCGCGUCUGAUUAGAUAGUUGGUGAGGUAACGGCCCACCAAGUCGACGAUCAGUAGCCGGACUGAGAGGUUGAUCGGCCACAUUGGGACUGAGACACGGCCCAGACUCCUACGGGAGGCAGCAGUGGGGAAUAUUGGACAAUGGGGGGAAACCCUUAUCCAGCGACGCCGCGUGAGGGAAGAAGGUUUUCGGAUUGUAAACCUCUGUCAGUGGGGACGAUAAUGACGGUACCCACGGAGGAAGCCACGGCUAACUACGUGCCAGCAGCCGCGGUAAUACGUAGGUGGCAAGCGUUGUCCGGAAUUACUGGGUGUAAAGGGAGCGUAGGCGGGAUGUCAAGUCAGAAGUGAAAAUUAUGGGCUCAACUCAUAACUUGCUUUUGAAACUGAUAUUCUUGAGUGAAGUAGAGGCAAGCGGAAU